AUCACAAUCACUCACUCAACCUUCUUAAUCUCACAUCUCAAUUAUGACUUCUGAGUUCCUUCUCUGUGCUCUCUCUAAAACCCAACUUGCCUUAUCUCAGAUCUCAAACUUCCCAGACUGUCACUGCUUCCUGCUGCCUUCCCAGACCGUCAUUGCUUCCUUCAAAAAUUGAGCAGGUGAAGCCGUGACUGUGAAGAAGUGUGGUGGUGUGUCUGUGUGUGGAUUACAACAAAGUGAAGGCUCGAUUGCGUGAAGGGCAGAGGCUGAAGGCGGUGAAAGCUGAAGCCUGAAGCAAAGCUACGGAACUGUAGAAUGGCGGUGAAGUCUGAAACUCAUUUGACAUUUCUCCUACCUCAUACUCACAUCUCACCACUCAAGUGGGCACUUGGCAAUUUGUAAUUGGCUGGCUUAUGAUAUCGUAUGAUGCUUAUCCUAUCAUCUCUGACUCUUAGGUGAAUGUGAAUUGUAAUUUGUACAAGCACUAUUGGGCAUUGGCAUUUGGCAACUCAUCUUCAAUUUAUUGUGGAGAAUUGAAUUCUUGGAAUAAUUUCUUAUUUAUAAAUUAUUGCACCUUUAAUUUGAUUUAGUAUGGACCCUAGGCAUAAUGUUGAUCACCCUACCACUAUUGAUGAUGAGGAUUUAAUUAUUAAGGAAUCCAUAGGAUCUCCCUCUCCCCCUAAUGAAAUUUCAAAUGAAGGCACUUCUACUACUAGUAGUACUAAAGCCAAAAAAUUGU
Molecule: long non-coding RNA, 736 nt
Organism: Tripterygium wilfordii
Lineage: Eukaryota; Viridiplantae; Streptophyta; Magnoliopsida; Celastrales; Celastraceae
Exons: 2
Source: RefSeq, a predicted model, not a curated record